Non-coding RNA from Arvicanthis niloticus (Nile rat), 4809 nucleotides. NCBI's taxonomy places the organism in Eukaryota, Metazoa, Chordata, Mammalia, Rodentia, Muridae. The record is from RefSeq and is a predicted model, not a curated record.
GCGAGUCUGCGGCGGGAACCGUGGCUCCGCAGGUGUUCGCGGCUCGGAUCGCCUUGCACGAACUCCUGAGGUCUUAUCAUUCCACAUGGUCUACAGUUCAGGAAGCUUCUGGAACAUGCGGCACCUCUACAAUGGAAACGAGGUCAGCAUGAGCAGCUCCAGAUGCGUUCCUGAAACCCUGCUGUCUGAAAGUUAACCCUGUGAAGGGACCUCAAGCAGACCCUCUGCAGAAGUCUUGUGGUGCCCCUGCCAGAAACAUUGCAGCAUGUUCGUCGUCUGCCUUCCGCCAGCCUCUGGAUCUCCUGGAGGGAAAACUAGCUCCAAGCAGGAAAGAAGAAGGAAGAACUCUGAAGGAUACAAGAGCGACCCAGCUUACAGUCCAGACAAUAUUUGAAGGAGAGCCACAUCUUGUCAUUUGAAUUCUCCGUGGAGCCUUCCAAGUGCCAAAACACUGAGGACAGGGCUGUGCCUUGGUAACUGUGUGUCACUAUGGACUCUGUGGUACAGGGAGAUGGCUCUGGCCGUUUGCCUUUGAAGAUGAAGUUCUCUUUUUCUAGGUGGUUUUCACACAAGGCGGUAGGGGAUUUCUUAUUGCUUCCCCUCCCGACCUAUCCCCGAACCUCGCCACCAGGCAGCCCCACCAUAUUAGCUCAGAAGAUCCAUAAAGGGGCAGGAGCCCCUGUUCCCUCCCCUCUGCUCGAAGGUGUUAUUAGUUGGAUAGAGUGGAGCUGGAACAUAGGAGUGACCUUGGGAAGGGGCACUUGGUGACUAAGCAAGAAUGGGCACCGGAGUGUCUACACACCACACCCAGCUUGCAGGGGAGGCUGGCUCACAAACCACCCUCAGGGUGACCUUGGAGGUCUGCAGGCUCAAUUCUCACGGCGCCUAGCCCCAUACCUGUCGAGUAACUUCCAAACUUAGUAGGCAGUUUAUGGAGGUAACACAUAGACAUGAAGGAGAACACUGAGCUGUCCCCCAAGGGGGAGCCCCAGGCAAAGGUCACAUCCCUUUCUUUCUGCAUAUAGCUGAGUUCUAGGUCCCACCAAGGGUAGAACUCCCCUUCCUUGUUGGCUAUGAAAAUUUCUUAUCUCCUGUAUAAAGGGAGGGGUGAUGACAAAUGUCUCUAAGUCCCAAUUUCUCUAUGACCACAGCCCCCUUCCAGCCUUCUUCUAAAGCAAGUACGCUAAGGGGUGGAGAUGUAGCUCAAUUGGUAAGGUGCUUGCCUAGUGUGCAGAGAGAGCCCUGGGCUCCCUUUUGCAACGCUUCAAAAAACCAGGUGUGGUGGUGCAUUCUUGUAAUCCCAGUACUUGGGAACAUGUGGGCAGGCCGCAUUCAAACCCAUGGCAUCCAGUGGAUCUACUCUGGCCCUGGAAACGUGGUGCUAGUAUUGUAAUGUGUGCUGAGUCUCUGGAGAAGUGUCCCGAGCCGCACCUAUAAUGACGGUCCCAAGCCACGUUCAAGAAGAAAUGGCACAGACAGGUAGGAGAGACGGAAGCUGAGAAAGUGCAGGCUCCUGAAGGACCAAAGGCCCAGGAUGAAAAGUAAUCCUACAUCCAUUGUAAAGGGAGCGCUAAGUUUCUAGGAGCCCACUCGAGACAGUCUAGAAAGCUGUAAAGAUUCCCCACUUGCUGAUUUUGGCAGCACACACCUGCAAUCCUAGUACUUAGGAGACAGAGGCGAGGGAGGGCACUCAAGAGUUGAAAGUCAUCCUCGGCUACAAAGUGAGUUUGAGGAUAGCCUGGGCAACAUACUUGAAAUCCUUUCUCAAAACAACAACAAAAAACAACCUGUUUAAGCCCCAUGCUGCGUUUCUCACUGCCCUACUCCCAGUUCUGAGGUUGCCAGCAGGGCUCCCAGGGCUCCCAGGGCUCCCAGGGCUCCCAGGGCUCCCAGGGCUCCCAGGGCUCCCAGGGCUCCCAGGGCUCCCAGGGCUCCCGGCUGUUCCUUUGAGCCAGCUGUGUCUUCAUUGAGGUCCCUGACUGUCCUCCUGCCAUCCCCGGCUGGCUUGGAAGUGCUUUCUUUCAGUGACUUGUGGGUCCCAGGCCUUGCACUCAUUGAAUCUUCUCACCCAGCUUUGGAAUAAGUCUUUUGUGGGCCCCCUGUUACAACUGAGGGAAAUAGAUGCACAGAGCUGUGCUCAGCUUGCUCCUUUCAUGCAACUCCUGCGUCGAGGAGCCAGGACUGUGUCAUCCCUGCAACCGUGACGUCAGAAGUCCUGACGUUGGGUUGCAGGAGUUUCACUUCCAUUUGCUGGGAUAAAGCAGCCCGCUUGCUGGACUCUGUGGCCUUUUGGAAAUGGUAUUGCUUCCACAAUCUCUUCUUCAGCCUGCCCAAACCUAUCUAAUGCUUUACAGGAACAUAUGUGCCCAAGAGAGACAUGCGCUUCCCACCAGCAGACACUAGCAUAUCUGCUGUGGGAAUUGAGGGGACUCUUGAGUUGGGGUAGAUUCAAGAGCCUCUGGUCAUGCCAUCAACUCUGCAAGGCGGGCAUUGUUAUGGUUUAUUUCUGCUCCACUACGUCUGGGACCUCCACCAGAUUGGCUGGAAAUACUGAACAUGGUCCAAAGAGGGCUGGCUCUGUGUCUGGAGCCUUUAUUCUAUCUGCCAGCUGGGUUCCUCUUCUCCCUGUGAUGUCAUCUGGGGCUCAGAUGUCUGAAGUGGCUCUGGCACGCAGGCCCCUAGUACCUCUACUUUCUUUUAUGUGUUCACUGUCUUCAGAAGAGUAGCUUCAGCCUACACUGUCUGGGCUAUCAGAGCACACAAUAUCAAUAUCCUUUUCCAUUGCACUCCACUUUACCUAGUCUACUUCUAGCCAGUGCUUUCUAGAUGGCAGUGCCAUAUACUACAAGAUUCUGCUUCUGUGUGUGCAUACUGCUCUUUGAACUUGAAUCUAAUACAGGCUGGCCAGGAACUUUUGAAGUCAUUUGACUCAAAAAUGGAAGGAAAUCCAAUCAGGCCAGUUAGUUUCUCCUCCUGCCACCCCACACCCACCCCAUUUGAAGUCUGAACCUAAAUCACACCGAUUGAGAGUAUGUAACAAGGUGAUAAGUAGGGCUUUGAUGGUCUGAUGUUCCGGCCAAAAUCACCAUGAAGGAGAAAGCUAGUGAGAAGGUUAUGAUACGGAGAAAAUCCACUUACUGUGGAAGAAGAGAAAAUAAACCUUUCUCUGGAACAUAGGAAAAGAAGAGACUGCUUAGAGUAGGGUUGUGGCUCCUGAGCUACCCCUGCAGCCCUGGAGCUCAAGCCAGUUCAUCUUCACAGCGAUGGAAUGUGAAUCACUGUACCAAGCUUGUAUUUUGCUUUUGCUGUUGAUUGACAUAGUCGUGGUCAUGUGAUUCAAUUCUGCUAAUCCACUUAUGGAGAGAUGUUUGGGAUAACCUUGAAUCUAUGCGGGAUCAAGACCAAGGGGAUGACAGCCGGCUGGGGAUGACAGGACAGGUGAUGAGCAAAAGGGGCCUGGGUUCCCCGGAGUCACAAUGCCUACCCUGGAACCGUUUCCUUCCAGCCUAAUUGCUGUAGGAGCCUAUUGUCUCCUGGGUCCCAUCCUUCUCUUAGGACCUGAAACAUUCCUAAGCUCUCCAUAAAAUGUCCCUGCCGUCAUUGUUACAUAGUGGGUCUUUUUUGUAGCUCUAAAUGAAAAAAACAACCCAGGUUGCUUUUCUUCCUAAGUGUUGGUGGGAGAAAUUCUGCUGAGAUGAUAAAAAAUGGACAGGAACAACAAAGAGGCAGGGCCUUCACAGGCAAAAGAACAGCCCCGGUGAUUAGUCCCCCAGCUCUCCUCAGACCCGGUGGACACAGACCAGGAAAGAUAAAUAAUUCUGAAAAUGUCCACAUGCCCAAGUCUCCUCAGACAGGGCUGAGGAAUAACUCUUAGAAAAAAACAUUGCUGGGGGCAGGGGGGAACUAUUAAUGCCUAAGAUCCAGAGCCCAAAGAGUGAGAAGGCAGGUUAGGUAGGAUGUGGGUAGAUUCUAAGAAAGUGUCUAUGGCUGGGUGUUGGGAACAAUGAACUGAAACAAUUUGCUGCAGCAGGAGCCAGCAGGUGCAAAGGGGUCGCACUCAGGAGACAGCCUUGGGGUUUGAAAAUGGUCCUCUUGGUCCUCUUAGGAGGAGGGCAGUGCUAAAUCGUACCUGCUGGCCUUCUCUGUGCUCGGGCAUGGGCCGGCUUCCUUCCUUACCUCCCCUCCUCCCCUCCCUUUUUUCUUCUACCUUUUGUUCAAGUGAAGGCAGGAGCUAGAGGCACAUACAACCCUAUCCAAGUUUCUUUCUCGCAGCUUGUGGGACGAGGAGGCUGGGGAUGGGGCUCAGUUGGCAGAGUGCUUGCCUAGCAGGCACAAAGCCCUGGCUUGCAUCCCCAGCCCCACAUAAACUAGGUAUGGUGGAGCACGCUUGUAAUCAAUCCUACCCUUGGGAAGUAGGGGUCAGAAGAUAAGUCUAAGAUCAUUGGAGAAACUGAACUCAAGGCCUGGCUCUUCCUCUUGGAAGAGAAAAAAAAAAAAAAAAAGCCAGGCUUCUCCUGGUACCCCAAGUGAGGCUGACAAAUGCUCAUUACCCUGUUAUAAGCAAACUAGAAAAAGCCGCCCUCCCUUCUGGUGUAUCUCGGAAUAACCACAGAACCCCACCACAGGUGUGCUAAAUCUGAGAAGUUGUGACACAGAUUCUGACACCAGCCCUCAGUAUAUAACUGGUGCUCCCCCACAUGGUGUAUGCAGCUGGGUCCCUAAUGCCAAGGCUGAUAGCUCACCAGCAAAGUGAGUCUCAGCUUGUAAGGAGAGCAAGGGAGAUGUGACCCCGGAGAGAGAAAAAAAAAA